AUUGAACGCUGGCGGCAUGCCUUACACAUGCAAGUCGAACGGUAACAGGUCUUCGGAUGCUGACGAGUGGCGAACGGGUGAGUAAUACAUCGGAACGUGCCCGAUCGUGGGGGGAUAACGGAGCGAAAGCUUUGCUAAUACCGCAUACGAUCUACGGAUGAAAGCAGGGGACCGCAAGGCCUUGCGCGGACGGAGCGGCCGAUGGCAGAUUAGGUAGUUGGUGGGAUAAAAGCUUACCAAGCCGACGAUCUGUAGCUGGUCUGAGAGGACGACCAGCCACACUGGAACUGAGACACGGUCCAGACUCCUACGGGAGGCAGCAGUGGGGAAUUUUGGACAAUGGGCACAAGCCUGAUCCAGCCAUUCCGCGUGCAGGAUGAAGGCCCUCGGGUUGUAAACUGCUUUUGUACGGAACGAAAAGGCUCUGGUUAAUACCUGGGGCUCAUGACGGUACCGUAAGAAUAAGCACCGGCUAACUACGUGCCAGCAGCCGCGGU
RNAcentral lists this ribosomal RNA (497 nucleotides) under uncultured bacterium. RNAcentral describes it as "bacterial SSU rRNA". It matches the Rfam family "Bacterial small subunit ribosomal RNA", at positions 30 to 521 of the family's 1533-position model. The record is from RNAcentral.